Molecule: ribosomal RNA, 500 nt
Filed under: uncultured bacterium
Lineage: Bacteria
Description: partial 16S ribosomal RNA
Rfam family: Bacterial small subunit ribosomal RNA
Source: RNAcentral
AUUGAACGCUGGCGGCAUGCCUUACACAUGCAAGUCGAACGGCAGCGCGGACUUCGGUCUGGCGGCGAGUGGCGAACGGGUGAGUGAUACAUCGGAACGUACCCUGUUGUGGGGGAUAACUAGUCGAAAGAUUAGCUAAUACCGCAUACGACCUGAGGGUGAAAGUGGGGGACCGCAAGGCCUCACGCAGCAGGAGCGGCCGAUGUCUGAUUAGCUAGUUGGUGGGGUAAAGCCCCACCAAGGCGACGAUCAGUAGCUGGUCUGAGAGGACGAUCAGCCACACUGGGACUGAGACACGGCCCAGACUCCUACGGGAGGCAGCAGUGGGGAAUUUUGGACAAUGGGGGCAACCCUGAUCCAGCAAUGCCGCGUGUGUGAAGAAGGCCUUCGGGUUGUAAAGCACUUUUGUCCGGAAAGAAAUCGCGCUGGUUAAUACCUGGCGUGGAUGACGGUACCGGAAGAAUAAGCACCGGCUAACUACGUGCCAGCAGCCGCCGUAA